UGUUUAGGUUGCUUGGCGAGGUCACUGCUCUACUCAAAGUCCUGUUAUGAAUACGGUUUAUGGACAUGGCCCAAAGAGGGUGAAAGGCCCGUGUGAGUAGAGUCUGGCGGUGGCUUCCUAGGCUAACCUUGGAGUCGGGUUGUUUGGGAAUGCAGCCCAAAGUGGGUGGUAAACUCCAUCCAAGGCUCAAUACCGUCACGAGUCCGAUAGCGAACAAGUACCGUGAGGGAAAGUUGAAAAGUACUCUGAAGAGAGAGUAAACAGCACGUGAAACCGCUCAGAGGUAAACGGGCAGAGUUGAACUGCAAGCCUGAAAGAUUCAGCUGAUGAGCGUGGUUUGGGCUUGGUCAUGUUGGUCUGACUUGAAGGUCUGCUCGAGCGCAGGUUGCUGCCUUUGGUGGCAAUUCGCGAUGUGCUUGUCAGGUGUUGCGUGCCUUUCUGGUCGGAGGCCAGUUCGUCAGUGCACUUCUUUCCGGUGUUCACCACGACCGACGCUGUCGUCUGUCGGCUGUGGCCGAACCAGGGUGGCUUGGUCCUUGGGCCUUGUUGCUUUGGGAUGGCAGGUAGCUUGGAUGACAAUUUAGUCUUCCAGUGUAAUAGCUGGUCGCAGCUGAACAGUGCGAUGCGUCGGAGACGGCGGCUGUUGCAAUGUGUGCUGCUGCAAUUGUUGAAGUCGGAUCUGGUUGUCAUGUUGCUUGCUUAAGCAGGCCUGGUGGUGGUUCGUCUUCUUGCAGUUGUCAGUUUCUAACGUUGCGCUAAAUGAGCCAACAGUCUGUGGUGUAGUGGUAAGCUCUCUACCCGACCCGUCUUGAAACACGGACCAAGGAGUUUAACAUGUACGCGAGUCAUUGGGUUGUCGAAACCUACAGGCGUAGUGAAGGUGAAGGUUUGGCUCGUCCGAACUGAGGUGAGAUCUUGUCGUUUCUCAUGCGUGAUACUACCAAGCAUUUGAGCGGCAGGCGCAUCACCGGCCCGUCUCAUGGUGUGGUCAUAGUUCCUUCGGGACUGUGCAUCACUGGGGUGGAGCAUGAGCGUACACGUUGAGACCCGAAAGAUGGUGAACUAUGCUUGUGCAGGUUGAAGCCAGAGGAAACUCUGGUGGAGGACCGCAGCGAUUCUGACGUGCAAAUCGAUCGUCAAAC
This 1142-nucleotide ribosomal RNA is filed under the name Isoparorchis eurytremus. RNAcentral describes it as "partial large subunit ribosomal RNA". It matches the Rfam family "Eukaryotic large subunit ribosomal RNA", at positions 149 to 910 of the family's 3401-position model. Lineage: Eukaryota; Metazoa; Platyhelminthes; Trematoda; Azygiida; Isoparorchiidae. The record is from RNAcentral.